GAUGAACGCUGGCGGCGUGCCUAAUACAUGCAAGUCGAGCGAACAGACGAGGAGCUUGCUCCUCUGACGUUAGCGGCGGACGGGUGAGUAACACGUGGAUAACCUACCUAUAAGACUGGGAUAACUUCGGGAAACCGGAGCUAAUACCGGAUAAUAUAUUGAACCGCAUGGUUCAAUAGUGAAAGACGGUUUUGCUGUCACUUAUAGAUGGAUCCGCGCCGCAUUAGCUAGUUGGUAAGGUAACGGCUUACCAAGGCAACGAUGCGUAGCCGACCUGAGCGGGUGAUCGGCCACACUGGAACUGAGACACGGUCCAGACUCCGACGGGAGGCAGCAGGAGGGAAUCUUCCGCAAUGGGCGAAAGCCUGACGGAGCAACGCCGCGUGAGUGAUGAAGGUCUUCGGAUCGUAAAACUCUGUUAUUAGGGAAGAACAAAUGUGUAAGUAACUAUGCACGUCUUGACGGUACCUAAUCAGAAAGCCACGGCUAACUACGUGCCAGCCGCCGCCGUAA
Molecule: ribosomal RNA, 513 nt
Filed under: uncultured bacterium
Lineage: Bacteria
Description: partial 16S ribosomal RNA
Rfam family: Bacterial small subunit ribosomal RNA
Source: RNAcentral